This 1220-nucleotide long non-coding RNA is filed under the name Volvox carteri. Its description in RNAcentral is "long non-coding RNA (VCAR_LNC001627)". Lineage: Eukaryota; Viridiplantae; Chlorophyta; Chlorophyceae; Chlamydomonadales; Volvocaceae. The record is from RNAcentral.
AAAGCACAAGCGUGUACGGUCCGGCAUGCAGCUGCAGUGUGCACUCUCUUUGUCACGCUAGUAGCGAUUACAAUCGGGACCCAGCACGCACGAAUCCCUAAAUAAGUCAAAUCGUAUACUAUGAAAUGCUGCAAAGCUGGUGUGCAAAGCUUGCGUAGAACACAUUGGGUUCUCGCGGCUCUCGACAUCCAACUGAUUAUCAACAAUCAGCCCGACGGUGACAGCUUUGCUCUACCCAACCUGAAACCCAUGGCAUUCAAGACAUCAUGACAUAAUAGUCCUCUCCCAUAUACUCAAGUUAAUAUAUGCAAGGUGAGUCAAAAUGGUGGAUGUCGUCACAUUUCGGCGCUCGUUCCACCUGCAGAGGGUGGCCAUUUAGCCAACAGGAUUUCUUUUCCUAAAAAAUGUUCGUUAUGUAGGUCCUUCCUGGCACGAUAGUCGGCCCCUCGCAGUUACUGCGCAGGUAUUGUACCGGUAAGCUUUCCAAAUUUAGAGCGCAAGAAAGGUAAUGCGCAUUUACAGAUUGGUCUGUUAGUUUAACACCAUCACUGAUGAAUAUAGAAUUUAACAAUUAACGCGACGUCAGGUGGCCCGUAAAGGUGUACGAUGCAAGUGGUCGCUGCGCGUUGAUGAGCAUCGAACAGCAGUUGCCUCCGGUGCGGCUGGCGAAUCUCGCAGCUGCCAUUCAACCAUUUAUGUGACAGAUCACUCUAUCAUCGGGUCAUUCCUAUCGUGGCGGCAAAUAUCCUCGAUUGUUUUCCUUGAAGUGGAAAAUAGAAGACAGAAGGGUGGAUGAGGCUGACGCCAGAUGUCUUGAAACUUGUGGCUGCUUGCGUUCCGUUAGGUUUCGUAAAUUUCUGCUGUAAGAUGAAUGUGCCGAUGAGCUGCCAUAAGCUAGAUGCAUGGUGGGAUGCUACCAUAGCGAUACAGUCCCAGACAGAUUGAUUUCCUUGAGCACUGCAAAAUAUAUGAUGGUAUAUUUCGAAAAAAAAACAAGCAGCGGGCGCAUUAGCUGCUGCAGAGAUACAUUUGGUUACUAAAAUAUUAUGCGAGGGGAUGUUCGAUUCGGACGUGCUGCGGUUGAACAUUUUGUAAUCCACCAGCUGGUGGAUUACACACCUGCAGUAUGCGUCCAUGCCUCGUGAGCGUUUGCAGCUCUUCUUACGCAUUGUUGCGAUCUUAUAACGAAGUCACAGUUCGUACACGUGAUUGUCCCAUCA